ACUUUCAGAGACGAUUGGUGCCAUUCGGGAACUCAGACACAGGUCCUGCAUGGUUGUCGUCAGCUCGUGUCGUGAGAUGUUGGGUUAAGUCCCGUAACGAGCGCAACCCUUGGUCCUUAGUUACCAGCACGUUAUGGUGGGAACUCUAAGGAGACUGCCGGUGACAAACCGGAGGAAGGUGGGGAUGACGUCAAGUCAUCAUGGCCCUUACGGCCAGGGCUACACACGUGCUACAAUGGUCGGUACAAAGGGUUGCCAAGCCGCGAGGUGGAGCUAAUCCCAUAAAACCGAUCGUAGUCCGGAUCGCAGUCUGCAACUCGACUGCGUGAAGUCGGAAUCGCUAGUAAUCGUGAAUCAGAAUGUCACGGUAAUACGUUCCCGGG
Molecule: ribosomal RNA, 383 nt
Filed under: Pseudomonas sp. Nfb3RU
Lineage: Bacteria; Pseudomonadati; Pseudomonadota; Gammaproteobacteria; Pseudomonadales; Pseudomonadaceae
Description: bacterial SSU rRNA
Rfam family: Bacterial small subunit ribosomal RNA
Source: RNAcentral